Molecule: ribosomal RNA, 465 nt
Filed under: uncultured bacterium
Lineage: Bacteria
Description: partial 16S ribosomal RNA
Rfam family: Bacterial small subunit ribosomal RNA
Source: RNAcentral
UGGGGAAUAUUGCACAAUGGGCGAAAGCCUGAUGCAGCGACGCCGCGUGCGGGAUGAAGGCCUUCGGGUUGUAAACCGCUUUUAAUUGGGAGCAAGCGAGAGUGAGUGUACCUUUUGAAUAAGCACCGGCUAACUACGUGCCAGCAGCCGCGGUAAUACGUAGGGUGCAAGCGUUAUCCGGAAUUAUUGGGCGUAACGAGCUCGUAGGUGGUUUGUCACGCCUGGUGUGAAAGUCCAUCGCUUAACGGUGGAUCUGCGCCGGGUACGGGCAGGCUAGAGUGCAGUAGGGGAGAUUGGAAUUCCCGGUGUAACGGUGGAAUGUGUAGAUAUCGGGAAGAACACCAAUGGCGAAGGCAGAUCUCUGGGCUGUUACUGACGCUGAGGAGCGAAAGCAUGGGGAGCGAACAGGAUUAGAUACCCUGGUAGUCCGAUGCCGUAAACGGUGGAUGCUGGAUGUGGGACCCU